This 429-nucleotide ribosomal RNA is filed under the name Pseudomonadota bacterium. RNAcentral's name for it is "Proteobacteria bacterium partial 16S ribosomal RNA". It matches the Rfam family "Bacterial small subunit ribosomal RNA", at positions 355 to 776 of the family's 1533-position model. The record is from RNAcentral. Lineage: Bacteria; Pseudomonadati; Pseudomonadota.
UGGGGAAUAUUGGACAAUGGGCGAAAGCCUGAUCCAGCCAUGCCGCGUGUGUGAAGAAGGUCUUCGGAUUGUAAAGCACUUUAAGUUGGGAGGAAGGGCAGUAAGCGAAUACCUUGCUGUUUUGACGUUACCGACAGAAUAAGCACCGGCUAACUCUGUGCCAGCAGCCGCGGUAAUACAGAGGGUGCAAGCGUUAAUCGGAAUUACUGGGCGUAAAGCGCGCGUAGGUGGUUCGUUAAGUUGAAUGUGAAAGCCCCGGGCUCAACCUGGGAACUGCAUCCAAAACUGGCGAGCUAGAGUAGGGCAGAGGGUGGUGGAAUUUCCUGUGUAGCGGUGAAAUGCGUAGAUAUAGGAAGGAACACCAGUGGCGAAGUCGACCACCUGGGCUCAUACUGACACUGAGGUGCGAAAGCGUGGGGAGCAAACAGG